Molecule: non-coding RNA, 2697 nt
Organism: Peromyscus maniculatus bairdii (prairie deer mouse)
Lineage: Eukaryota; Metazoa; Chordata; Mammalia; Rodentia; Cricetidae
Source: RefSeq, a predicted model, not a curated record
UGGUGAGACUCAUGACGAUACACUGAGUCACUGCUGUUUUUCUUUUUCCUGGUAGACGCUGCAGUCUUGUUUAGAGACAGAGUCCUCGGCUUCAAAGAGGUAAUCCUAAUACAUUGGCAGGGGAAACGGAACAACAGCUUGGCAUUUGCUGAGCAGUUCGUCGUGAGGGGCCCGGGACACCGGAUGCAGAGAACAGCACUGGCCAGGACUCAGAGAACAGAGGCUGCCAACCUGGAGGCCGCUAUGACCCACCCCAACCUCAACCAGGAAUGAAGAGCAGAUCUGUGUUCCCACGAGAGGCUGAGGCACUGUGGAGGUGGCUGGGGCACAGCCACAGGUAGAGUGCCUGUGCCAGAGAUGAUCCCACGUUGGACGGACGUCUGCACACUGAAGACAUGAUUGAUCAUCACUCAGCACAUCAAGCCCAUCCCCAUCGCUGGGCAGCCAUCUUCACCAUCCAUCACAGACAGUUUUCAUCCUGCAAAGCUGAAACUCUGCCAUGAAGCACUGACUCCCCAUUUGCCGUGCCCCACCCCCCAGCCCCCUGGGACCAUAACUGUCAUUCUGCUCUCUGUCUCCCUGAGUUUGGCUAUGCUAGGAACCUCACAGGAAAGGACCCAUUCCUUGUGUGAUUGAUGCCUUUUACCUAGCCCAGGGUCAUUUAUCUGCCUUGUAGUGCAUCUCAGAAUUUCUGUUUAUGGCUGCGUACUGUCUCACUGAAUGGACAUACCACAUUAUGUCAAUGCAGUCAUCAUUUGCAGGUAUUGCUUUUAUUAGCAUUUCCUUGAGUGUGUUAGAUCAAGGAGGGUCCCCUGACAAAGCCUGUGGCAUUUCAGGUCACAUCAUCUCAUGUGGUUCCAAGAAGCCUCCCCACCCCCUACCCCCCAGAUCUCCAGGACAGAGGUGAAAGAGGCACCUCCUCAAAGGAAAUUAGAGAAAUCCAAGGUUUCCAACUGGUGCCCCAGCUUUUGCCAAUAACCCUAUAAUCCAUCCCGAUUCCACCAAUGCAAAGAUAGUGUGUUGGUCCAUUUUCAGAUCCCCAGUGAUGCCCCAAUCCCUUAGGAUAAAGUUCAAAUGUCUAUGGGAGACUGCGAAGCCCUCCAUGGACCCAUGCUCCAUGGACCAAGUCUUCUCCAUCACGCCCCACUCCUCACUUCUUAGUCCCCACCCCCACCUCUUAGUUCUCCCCAAGGCCAACGAGUUCCACUUCUUUUAGGUCAGAAGACUCACAGUGUGUGCCCAUUUGUGCAAUUCUGUCUACCUGGAUGACCCAGAGUGUCUGUGACCAGUUUUGUGCCCACCAUAUUAGGAGAGGUAACAUGUUUAUGAGGUCCAGACCCAGAGUCUGACUUUCGUGUUUGAGUCGGGAUAAAGAAACCGGGAUCCUAACCAAAAUGUCCAAAAGACUGAAUCACAGGAGAGGCGUGGUCAUAGUGUGAGGACAGUUUUUUUUUUUUUUUUCAGAGACAUUUCCACUCAAAACACCCAUGUCCUGUCCUUCCUGGGGUCAGAAGGACCCAGCAUGAGGAUGAUUCCCUCAUGAGUACUUAUGCAAGUGAUAAGUGCUCAUGCAAGACACUGAGCUCUUUGAUUUAUUACAAUUAGAUAGUAAAUACAUUAAGGGUUGACAACAGAAUGAGUAGAUAUAUGUAUAGAUGAUGAAACAAUUAUUAUAUGCCCAAGCUUAUUAACCAUCUGUCACCACACAUGAUACCAUGUGUGUAUGUAUAAGAACACAUGAGGUGGAUCCACUAUGUGAGAGAUUUAUAAAUACAGUAUGGCAUUAUCUAUGGUCAUCACGAUGUGCAUUAGAAGCCUUUUGUGUUACAACUGAAGUUUGUACCUUUGGACCAACAUGGUACCAUUUCUCUAUUUGCAUUGCAUGCUCAUACUUUGGCUCCACAAGAGCAGUCACCUUGGAAAGUUUAGCCAGCUCUAGCAGACUAAGGGUCUGUUAUGGUCAUGAGAACUGGGCUAACAGUCAGCCACAGCUCCUUGGCAGACACAAUGGAACUCUCUCCCUGGCACAUUAAGUCAAAACCACAUCCAGUAUGACUCUCCCCUCCGGGAGUGACCGGAGUUCCAGUUCCAUCCUGAAGUGCUGCCACUUUCCAGCGGGGGGCCCUUGGUUCUUCCAGGCAAAGGGCAGGCAUGUCAUCUGUAGGUGGCUUCCGGCAGCCAGGCCUGGAAUGGUGCCCUUCACUUAUGCCUAUCUUCAUUGGUUGGCAGACAUCAUAUGGUGUUAUGGUUUGGGAGAGUCAUCAGAGUCUAGAGUCUCUACCCCCCUCCUCUGUGUGUGUGUGUGUGUGUGUGUGUGUGUGUGUGUGUGUCUGUGUGUCUGUGUGUAUCUGUGUCUGUGUGUGUGUCUAUGCAUGUUUCUGCGUGUGUGUCUGUGUGUGAGUGCAGAUCUUGGUUGUUAGUGUGAUGGUGUUAAGAAGUGACAGAACCUUUAAGAGGUGAAAUCUAGUAGGAAAGUGCUAAGACAUAAGGUAGCUCUUGUGGGACCCUGAUAUUGUUCUCUCCUGGGCCAGGGGUGUUGUAGAAUAUUAUUUUAAAGUGUGUUGCAUUUUUUAUGACUGCUUUUUUCCCCUUUGUUUGAAGUAUGGCUUUCUUAGCAUUUCACUUGUGAUGACUGCUGUCCAGAUAAACAUUUUUGAGUGUCUAAUAAAAUUUGGACAUUGUAUUCUUUGAGAAUCA